ACAAAGUUUUGGUCCUAAACUUGCCGUUGUUUUUUAUCAAAAUUAUACAUGCAAGCCUCCCCAUACCAGUGAGAAUGCCCACAUAUUCCUUAAGAGUAGAUCGGAGCAGGCAUCAGGAUCCAAUAUAUUUAGCCAAAAACGCCUUGCUAUCGCCACGCCCACACGGGUUUUCAGCAGUAAUUGACAUUAAAAAUGAGCGAAAGCUCGAUUUAGUUAUGAUAAACAUAGUCGGUAAAUUUCGUGCCAGCCACCGCGGUUAUACGAAAGACUACAAACAACGACUCUCGGCGUAAAGCGUGAUUAAGGCUUAAAGCUAACUAGAGGGGUACACCUGCCAGGUCGUAAAACACUACUGCACCUAGAACCACAACCCGCUCGCCUCUAAAAUACCCGCCUUCACGAAAGCUAAGAAACAAACUGGGAUUAGAUACCCCACUAUGCUUAGCCCUAAACAACGAUCUUAUCUUACAAUAUUAUCCGCCAGAGAACUACAAGCGAAAAGCUAAAAACUCUAAGGACUUGGCGGUGCUUCAAACCAACCUAGAGGAGCCUGUCCUAUAAUCGAUACUCCACGCUUUACCUUACCCCCCUUUGCUAAUCAGUCUAUAUACCGCCGUCGUCAGCUUACCUUAUGAAAGAAAUAAAGUAGGCAAAAUAGUUAAUAACUAACACGUCAGGUCAAGGUGUAACAUACGGGGCGGUCAGAGAUGGGCUACAUUUUACAACAAUUACACGAAUAACGCAUUGAAAUACGUGUUUAAAGGUGGAUUUAGUAGUCGUAUAGAGAAGAAAACCUAUACUAAACCCGCUCUGAAGCGCGCACACACCGC
RNAcentral lists this non-coding RNA (830 nucleotides) under Scincella lateralis (ground skink). Its description in RNAcentral is "partial 12S ribosomal RNA". It matches the Rfam family "Bacterial small subunit ribosomal RNA". Lineage: Eukaryota; Metazoa; Chordata; Lepidosauria; Squamata; Scincidae. The record is from RNAcentral.